RNAcentral lists this non-coding RNA (94 nucleotides) under human gut metagenome. RNAcentral's name for it is "SAM riboswitch (S box leader)". It matches the Rfam family "SAM riboswitch aptamer (S box leader)". Rfam says of the family: The SAM riboswitch is found upstream of a number of genes which code for proteins involved in methionine or cysteine biosynthesis in Gram-positive bacteria. The record is from RNAcentral.
CUUAUCAAGAGCGGUGGAGGGAACGGCCCGAUGAAACCCGGCAACCUGCGGCGACGCAAGGUGCCAAAUCCGGCGAAGCAAUCGAAAGAUGAGG